UACGUAGGGGGCAAGCGUUGUUCGGAAUUACUGGGCGUAAAGGGCUCGUAGGCGGCCAACUAAGUCGGAUGUGAAAUCCCUAGGCUUAACCUGGGAACUGCAUCCGAUACUGGAUGGCUUGAAUCCGGGAGAGGGAUGCAGAAUUCCAGGUGUAGCGGUGAAAUGCGUAGAUAUCUGGAGGAAUACCGGUGGCGAAGGCGGCAUCCUGGACCGGCAUUGACGCUGAUGAGCGAAAGCUAGGGGAGCAAACGGG
Molecule: ribosomal RNA, 253 nt
Filed under: uncultured bacterium
Lineage: Bacteria
Description: partial 16S ribosomal RNA
Rfam family: Bacterial small subunit ribosomal RNA
Source: RNAcentral